AGUGAACGCUGGCGGUAGGCCUAACACAUGCAAGUCGAACGGCAGCACAGUAAGAGCUUGCUCUUACGGGUGGCGAGUGGCGGACGGGUGAGGAAUACAUCGGAAUCUACUUUUUCGUGGGGGAUAACGUAGGGAAACUUACGCUAAUACCGCAUACGACCUACGGGUGAAAGCAGGGGAUCUUCGGACCUUGCGCGUUUGAAUGAGCCGAUGUCGGAUUAGCUAGUUGGCGGGGUAAAGGCCCACCAAGGCGACGAUCCGUAGCUGGUCUGAGAGGAUGAUCAGCCACACUGGAACUGAGACACGGUCCAGACUCCUACGGGAGGCAGCAGUGGGGAAUAUUGGACAAUGGGCGCAAGCCUGAUCCAGCCAUACCGCGUGGGUGAAGAAGGCCUUCGGGUUGUAAAGCCCUGUUGUUGGGAAAGAAAAGCAGCAGGUUAAUACCCCGCUGUUCUGACGGUACCCAAAGAAUAAGCACCGGCUAACUUCGUG
RNAcentral lists this ribosomal RNA (492 nucleotides) under uncultured bacterium. Its description in RNAcentral is "partial 16S ribosomal RNA". It matches the Rfam family "Bacterial small subunit ribosomal RNA", at positions 29 to 507 of the family's 1533-position model. The record is from RNAcentral.